AAAGUCGUAACAAGGUUUCCGUAGGUGAACCUGCGGAAGGAUCAUUAACACGUAUCCAAACGUCUAACCCCCCCAUAGUGCUUCACGAUUCCUGUAGACCGUAACACUCAGACAGGAGCAUGCCAAAGGAUCCCCAUGCCCUCUUAUAACCCCACAGAUUAAUGUGAAGUUCAAUGCAAUACAUUGAGUAAAAAAAUCGAACAACUGUUAACAAUGGAUACCUUGGUUCUC
This 231-nucleotide unclassified non-coding RNA is filed under the name fungal sp. RNAcentral's name for it is "partial internal transcribed spacer region". The stretch from base 1 to 47 matches the Rfam family "Eukaryotic small subunit ribosomal RNA", at positions 1785 to 1831 of the family's 1831-position model. The record is from RNAcentral. Lineage: Eukaryota; Fungi.